UUCAAAUAUCUUCUGCCUUUUGCCUUUCAAU
RNAcentral lists this non-coding RNA (31 nucleotides) under Rattus norvegicus (Norway rat). The record is from RNAcentral. Lineage: Eukaryota; Metazoa; Chordata; Mammalia; Rodentia; Muridae.